Gadus morhua (Atlantic cod) is the source of this 2369-nucleotide long non-coding RNA. RefSeq lists it as uncharacterized. The record is from RefSeq and is a predicted model, not a curated record. The transcript has 3 exons. NCBI's taxonomy places the organism in Eukaryota, Metazoa, Chordata, Actinopteri, Gadiformes, Gadidae.
UAAUAUGUUUCUUUUUUUUGUAAUGAACUAGUUAAGUAAACAAGUUCUGCAUUAUAGAUAGAAACACAUCAGAUAACCAACCCUCCCGACCAUAUCACAAUACAAUAGGCCUAGAUUAAAAUGGAAUACAAUCAGGCAGUAUAAGGGGCAGCUGUGACUGGAACUCUUGUAACAUUCUACAUGGACCAAUUAUCAGAGCAUUCCACCCCUUCUUUAUAGGUCCAUGGCUGUUUCCCAAUGUGAAGGCUGCAGCCUUGCUAGGACGCGUCCUUGCUAGUCGCGUCCUAUGGAGAUGAGACUAGUGCUAGCUCGAGUGCUUCCUAGCGUCUGUAACGUUCAGACUUUGGAAUGACUGGCUAGUGUGGAAGCGCUUCCGCUGUGUAAACACAUGUGCACUUCUGAAUAAAACAUGGAAGCAAUGAAGCUGAUCAAUAUUUAUUUGCUGUGGUGUGAGCUGGAGGAGGACUUCGAACGACUUUAUUGGCGGAGGGUUGAACGAAGGAGACGAUUGCUCUAUUCUCGGAGUCUGCCAUCAGAAUGUCGAGGCCAUGCAUUACUGCCAAAACAAAGCCACCGUGCCAGUGCUGCAGCGCUUCUUCCAGGGAGAGGACACCCGCCCUGAUUUCAGGCUUAGCCGGGAGGCUAUCUAGGUCCUCCAAACGGAGCGACAGCACGGUUGGGGGCCCACCAUGGAGAACCUGGUCUUUUUGUUUUGGAUAGCCCCUGGCGCAGCCUAUCGGAUUCUGUCCAGAGCUUUUGGCAUACCAAUGUCAUCUGUCCAUCGAAUGGUGCACAGAAUUGCGGAGGAGGUUGUAGCUGUCCGGGGCAGUUUCAUCAAGCUGCCAUCAAAUUAUGAGGAGGUCAAGGCCAUGGGGGAAGGGUACCCUGCUUUCGCUAAAGCAGCUGGGGCCAGGGGCGUUUCUAGGUUUCUGAAACAUCCGGGGCUUAGCCCAAGAGGGAAUAGGACAGUGCGCGUGCGGCAAAUUUUGUUGUAUACUUUAUUGCGCAUGCAUUUUUUUUCAUAAUGCUUUACCUAAAUAAACAAAAUAGGCAGGUAAUUAUAGCUUUGAAUAGCUACCUGACUGCUGCUUAUCCCCAGACAUCUAAAGUUCCAUCAAGUUAUUUCAGAGUCAAAUUAAUACAAGUGAGACAGACCUUACAUUACCUAUAUCAGGUGUGUCAAACUCAUUUUCACAAAGGGCCACUCUAUGAUGAAAUGAUAAUCAUACUAAGGGCCGACAUGGAGUUUGCUGACAUGCUUUCUUUUUAUUUAGCCCCGAAUAAAACAGCCUAGUGACGCCACUAGCUGGGGCCAUCGACGGGUCCCACAUCCAAAUUAAAUGUCCUUGCGGCCCUGAUGGUCAAGACUUCGUGAACAGGAAGCUGUAUCCAUCCAUGGUGCUGCAGGCAGUCUGUAACCAUCAGGGUCGCUUCAUUGACACCUUCGUGGGCUUCCCAGGAAGCGUGCAUGAAGCACGCAUCCUGCGAAAUAGUUCAAUUUACCUGGCUGGCAAUUACCCUCCACCAGGCCAUUUCAUCUUGGGUGAUGGUGGUUAUCCAUGCCUUACACAGCCGAUAGCCCUUAUCACACCAUAUAAGCGGCCACUCAGAGGCAUGGCAGAGCAACGGUUUAACACUCAUCACUCUCGGGACCGCUCAAUUGUUGAGCGUGCCUUUGGGAUGAUGAAAACCCGCUUCAGGUGCAUCUUUUUAGAGGCACUUAAAGUACAUAGUGAGUUUGUUCCAAAGGUGGUGACUGCGUAUGCAGUUGGUGUGGGCGAUGACCUCCCAGUGGAGGAUGGGGCCAUGGAGGGAGAUGACCCUCCUGCUGAAGGAGAAUGUGGCACGGAGUCACAGAGUGGAGCUCCUUGGCGUGCGGCCCUGGCCAAUUAUGCAGGGGAAAAAAGACAAAGAAAGUGUUGAUAAACAUGUAUUUAUUUGUAUAGAUAAUAUCUGAUCUCAUACAUACAUCCAUUACAUCCAUACCAUCCUUCAUUCAUUCACCCCUCUCAACCAAACGCUCAAGGAGAGAAGAAACGGUCAAACCGCUCCCUUGACUCCACCUCUCUCCUCUCAUCCGCCUGCCGCUGAUAUAGAAUAUCCUCCGUCACCAGAAGCAGGAAGGGAUCCUCCCUCCCUCAUCUCCCUGCUCCGGCCCCUGCUGCGCCCACUGCAACUGCCCCCGAUGUGAUGACUCGUAGCAAAAUGCGUUGUCCCAAUUUUUGAUACAUUAUUAUUUCAACUAUAGGUUAUAUUUACAGAAGAAAAUUGUAAUAAAAUGGCGGGCGAAGAGGAAGAACUGUGCGAGCAAAUACGAUUAUAUAAGCAUUUAUAUGAUACUUCUUCACUAUUACAUUCCAACAAGAUUG